RNAcentral lists this ribosomal RNA (626 nucleotides) under uncultured bacterium. RNAcentral describes it as "bacterial SSU rRNA". It matches the Rfam family "Bacterial small subunit ribosomal RNA", at positions 41 to 643 of the family's 1533-position model. The record is from RNAcentral.
GGCAUGCUUAACACAUGCAAGUCGAACGGUAACAGGCCGCUGUGAUCCCUUCGGGGUGAACUUGGCGCUGACGAGUGGCGGACGGGUGAGUAAUGCUUAGGAAUCUGCCCAGUAGUGGGGGACAACCCGGGGAAACCCGGGCUAAUACCGCAUACGCUCUACGGAGGAAAGCGGGGGAUCUUCGGACCUCGCGCUAUUGGAUGAGCCUAAGUCGGAUUAGCUUGUUGGUGGGGUAAUGGCCUACCAAGGCGACGAUCCGUAGCUGGUCUGAGAGGACGACCAGCCACACUGGGACUGAGACACGGCCCAGACUCCUACGGGAGGCAGCAGUGGGGAAUAUUGGACAAUGGGCGCAAGCCUGAUCCAGCAAUGCCGCGUGUGUGAAGAAGGCCUGCGGGUUGUAAAGCACUUUCAGUUGGGAAGAAAAGCUCGAGAUUAACACCCUCGGGUCUUGACGUUACCUACAGAAGAAGCACCGGCCAACUCCGUGCCAGCAGCCGCGGUAAUACGGAGGGUGCGAGCGUUAAUCGGAAUUACUGGGCGUAAAGCGCACGCAGGUGGCUGGGUCAGUCGGAUGUGAAAUCCCCGGGCUUAACCUGGGAAUUGCAUUCGAAACUGCCCGGCUA